RNAcentral lists this ribosomal RNA (322 nucleotides) under Dalmannia vitiosa. Its description in RNAcentral is "partial 12S ribosomal RNA". Lineage: Eukaryota; Metazoa; Arthropoda; Insecta; Diptera; Conopidae. The record is from RNAcentral.
UUUAAAAGUAGCGUUAAAUGCUUGAGUAGUAGUAGUAAUAGUCUUGAAACUUAAAAAUUUUGGCGGUAUUUUAGUCUAUUCAGAGGAACCUGUUCUAUAAUCGAUAAUCCACGAUGGACCUUACUUAGGUUUGUUUAGCUUAUAUACCGUUGUUAUUGAAUAUUUUAUAAGAAAAAUAAUUUUCUAUAAUUUGAAUUAAAAUAAAUAUCAGAUCAAGGUGUAGCUUAUGCCUGAGAAGUAAUGGGUUACAAUAAAGUUAUUUAUACGGAAAUGAUUAUGAAAAAAUUAUUGAAGGUGGAUUUGAAAGUAAAAGCUUAUAGAU